This 279-nucleotide ribosomal RNA is filed under the name uncultured bacterium. RNAcentral's name for it is "partial 16S ribosomal RNA". It matches the Rfam family "Bacterial small subunit ribosomal RNA", at positions 506 to 784 of the family's 1533-position model. The record is from RNAcentral.
UGCCAGCAGCCGCGGUAAUACAGAGGGUGCAAGCGUUAAUCGGAAUUACUGGGCGUAAAGGGUGCGCAGGUGGUUUUAUUAGUCAGGUGUGAAAUCCCAAGGCUCAACCUUGGAAUUGCGCUUGAAACUGUAAGGCUAGAGUAUUGUAGAGGGUAGUAGAAUUUCCGGUGUAGCGGUGAAAUGCGUAGAUAUCGGAAGGAAUACCAGUGGCGAAGGCGGCUACCUGGACAAAUACUGACACUGAGGCACGAAGGCGUGGGUAGCAAACAGGAUUAGAUA